This 1344-nucleotide ribosomal RNA is filed under the name metagenome. RNAcentral describes it as "bacterial LSU rRNA". It matches the Rfam family "Bacterial large subunit ribosomal RNA", at positions 1564 to 2912 of the family's 2925-position model. The record is from RNAcentral.
UGAGUGCGAGCUGCUACGGCAGCGAAGUUGGUGAUGUCAUGCUUCCAAGAAAAGCCCUAUACCCGUUAAGGCAUCAUGGCCUGUACCCGAAACCGACACAGGUGGGGUGGUAGAGAAUACCGAGGGGCGCGAGGUAACUCUCUCUAAGGAACUCGGCAAAAUGGCCCCGUAACUUCGGGAGAAGGGGUGCCACCGCAAGGUGGUCGCAGUGAAGAGGCCCAGGCGACUGUUUACCAAAAACACAGGUCUCCGCUAAGUCGCAAGACGAUGUAUGGGGGCUGACGCCUGCCCAGUGCCGGAAGGUUAAGGAAGCUGGUCAGCGCAAGCGAAGCUAGCGACUGAAGCCCCGGUGAACGGCGGCCGUAACUAUAACGGUCCUAAGGUAGCGAAAUUCCUUGUCGGGUAAGUUCCGACCCGCACGAAAGGCGUAACGAUCUGGGCGCUGUCUCGGAGAGAGGCUCGGCGAAAUAGAAUUGUCUGUGAAGAUGCGGACUACGUGCACCCGGACAGAAAGACCCUAUGAAGCUUUACUGUAGCUUGGUAUUGUGCCCGGGCUCGCUAUGCGCAGGAUAGGUGGGAGGCUUUGAUCAUCGGCUUGCGGGUCGAUGUGAGCCAACGGUGAGAUACCACUCUUUGCGAGCUAGGGUUCUAACGGCCACCCGUCAUCCGGGGGCCGGACAGUACCUGGUGGGCAGUUUGACUGGGGCGGUCGCCUCCUAAAAGGUAACGGAGGCGCGCAAAGGUUUGCUCAGGCUGGUUGGAAAUCAGCCGACGAGUGUAAAAGCAGAAGCAAGCUUGACUGUGAGACCAACAAGUCGAACAGGGAGGAAACUCGGCUUUAGUGAUCCGACGGUUCUGAGUGGAAGGGCCGUCGCUCAACGGAUAAAAGUUACUCUAAGGAUAACAGGCUGAUCUCCCCCAAGAGUUCACAUCGACGGGGAGGUUUGGCACCUCGAUGUCGGCUCAUCGCAGCCUGGGGCUGAAGUCGGUCCCAAGGGUUGGGCUGUUCGCCCAUUAAAGCGGUACGCGAGCUGGGUUCAGAACGUCGUGAGACAGUUCGGUCCAUAUCCGGUGCACGCGCAGGAAUAUUGAGAGGAUUUCUCCCUAGUACGAGAGGACCGGGAGGAACGCACCUCUGGUGUACCAGUUAUCGUGCCAACGGUAAACGCUGGGCAGCCAUGUGCGGAGUGGAUAACCGCUGAAAGCAUCUAAGUGGGAAGCCCACCUCAAGAUGAGUAUUCCCAUGGCGUAAGCCAGUAAGGUCACGGGAAGAACACCCGUUGAUAGGCUCUAUGUGGAAGCGCAGUAAUGCGUGAAGCAGAGGAGUACUAAUAGACCGAGGGC